AAAUUUAGUUAAAUUAUAACGUUAGUUUGUCAAACUAAAAUCAUCAAAUGAUAAUUUUUU
Molecule: transfer RNA, 60 nt
Filed under: Sermyloides sp. BMNH 846593
Lineage: Eukaryota; Metazoa; Arthropoda; Insecta; Coleoptera; Chrysomelidae
Description: tRNA-Asp
Source: RNAcentral